AUUGAACGCUGGCGGCAUGCCUUACACAUGCAAGUCGAACGGCAGCACGGGGGCAACCCUGGUGGCGAGUGGCGAACGGGUGAGUAAUACAUCGGAACGUGCCCAGUCGUGGGGGAUAUCGUAGCGAAAGUUACGCUAAUACCGCAUACGAUCUCUGGAUGAAAGCGGGGGACCGCAAGGCCUCGCGCGAUUGGAGCGGCCGAUGGCAGAUUAGGUAGUUGGUGGGGUAAAAGCUUACCAAGCCUCCGAUCUGUAGCUGGUCUGAGAGGACGAUCAGCCACACUGGGACUGAGACACGGCCCAGACUCCUACGGGAGGCAGCAGUGGGGAAUUUUGGACAAUGGGCAAAAGCCUGAUCCAGCAAUGCCGCGUGCAGGACGAAGGCCUUCGGGUUGUAAACUGCUUUUGUACGGAGCGAAACGGCUUCCACUAAUACUGGGGGCUAAUGACGGUACCGUAAGAAUAAGCACCGGCUAACUACGUGCCAGCCGCCGCCGUAA
Molecule: ribosomal RNA, 500 nt
Filed under: uncultured bacterium
Lineage: Bacteria
Description: partial 16S ribosomal RNA
Rfam family: Bacterial small subunit ribosomal RNA
Source: RNAcentral